Molecule: ribosomal RNA, 1293 nt
Filed under: 'Lectuca sativa' flattened stem phytoplasma
Lineage: Bacteria; Bacillati; Mycoplasmatota; Mollicutes; Acholeplasmatales; Acholeplasmataceae
Description: bacterial SSU rRNA
Rfam family: Bacterial small subunit ribosomal RNA
Source: RNAcentral
CGGGUGAGUAACACGUAAGUAACCUGCCUUUAAGACGAGGAUAACAACCGGAAGGUUACUAAGACUGGAUAGGAAACAAAAAGGCAUCUUUUUGUUUUUAAAAGACCUUCUUACGAAGGUAUGCUUAAAGAGGGGCUUGCGCCACAUUAGUUAGUUGGUAGAGUAAAAGCCUACCAAGACGAUGAUGUGUAGCUGGACUGAGAGGUUGAACAGCCACAUUGGGACUGAGACACGGCCCAAACUCCUACGGGAGGCAGCAGUAGGGAAUUUUCGGCAAUGGAGGAAACUCUGACCGAGCAACGCCGCGUGAACGAUGAAGUAUUUCGGUAUGUAAAGUUCUUUUAUUGAAGAAGAAAAAGUAGUGGAAAAACUAUAUUGACGUUAUUCAAUGAAUAAGCCCCGGCUAACUAUGUGCCAGCAGCCGCGGUAAGACAUAGGGGGCGAGCGUUAUCCGGAAUUAUUGGGCGUAAAGGGUGCGUAGGCUGUUAGAUAAGUCUAUAAUUUAAUUUCAGUGCUUAACGCUGUCUUGUUAUAGAAACUGUCUUGACUAGAGUGAGAUAGAGGCAAGCGGAAUUCCAUGUGUAGCGGUAAAAUGUGUAAAUAUAUGGAGGAACACCAGAAGCGUAGGCGGCUUGCUGGGUCUUUACUGACGCUGAGGCACGAAAGCGUGGGUAGCAAACAGGAUUAGAUACCCUGGUAGUCCACGCCGUAAACGAUGAGUACUAAGUGUCGGGGUAAAACUCGGUACUGAAGUUAACACAUUAAGUACUCCGCCUGAGUAGUACGUACGCAAGUAUGAAACUUAAAGGAAUUGACGGGACUCCGCACAAGCGGUGGAUCAUGUUGUUUAAUUCGAAGAUACACGAAAAAUCUUACCAGGUCUUGACAUACUCUGCAAAGCUAUAGAAAUAUAGUGGAGGUUAUCAGGGAUACAGGUGGUGCAUGGUUGUCGUCAGUUCGUGUCGUGAGAUGUUAGGUUAAGUCCUAAAACGAACGCAACCCUUGUCGUUAAUUGCCAGCACAUAAUGGUGGGGACUUUAACGAGACUGCCAAUUAAACAUUGGAGGAAGGUGAGGAUUACGUCAAAUCAUCAUGCCCCUUAUGAUCUGGGCUACAAACGUGAUACAAUGGCUGUGACAAAGAGUAGCUGAAACGCGAGUUUUUAGCCAAUCUCAAAAAAGCAGUCUCAGUUCGGAUUGAAGUCUGUAACUCGACUUCAUGAAGUUGGAAUCGCUAGUAAUCGCGAAUCAGCAUGUCGCGGUGAAUACGUUCUCGGGGUUUGUACACACCGCC